UGUUCGUCACCUCCUCUCUUCUCUUGCUCCUCCCUGACUUGGAAUUGGACCUCUAUCAUGAGCGUUAUAUUGAUUUGAUUUACCGGCGGUAUCUCUAUCUCUUGCGCAUGAUGAGAGAGAGAGAGAGAGAGAGAGAGAGAGAGAGAUUUUAAUGUUUUGUUUUCUGUUAGGUGAUUGCGUUAGAACCCUUUUAUGUGCAAGUUGGAAUGUGUAUUUCUGAUAUAAUAUGAGCACUGUCUCAUAUCCCAUUAGAGUCAGAUAGGUACUUGGACACCAUUUAGAUGUUCCAUCCCUGAUUCUAAGCACAUUGAUUUAUUAAUUUCUUUGUCCUCAAUGCUUUCUUGGUCUCCCUAACUAAAUCCUAGGUUGCACGUUGAUGUUUUCUGGUUCUUCUUCUUCUGAUUAUCACAAUCAAAAUUGUUGCAUUGAUGGUUGCUAGAACCGGAAAUAGCAUGAAACUAGAAAAAAAUCUCUGGUUUAGGCAAUGAUUUUUUCUUCCAUUGUUCUUUUUGUUAUCCUUGUGUUCUUCUCCACUCUCCAGUUGGUAUGUUCAGAAAUUUGAUCGUAUUUAUUAUUUUCGCUCUUGCACCCCCAAAUAUCAAUGGAGCUUUCAGCAAGUACAAAUGCCGAUGGUUUUCGCGCUGUGCCCUAUUCUUACGAAAUCUCCUGUGGUUUUGAUGAUAUAGAAUCGGGCUUUAACCCGCCUUUCCCCGUGCCUGAUUAUUUACUUCAACACUUGGUAACUUACUGUUUUGGCAGAUUGUUCCCUUUAGAAAUAGGCGGGCUUUGGUCGCUUCUUUGGUACUUAAAACUGACAUGGCCAUGUAAACAUCUGAAAGGUGCAUAUGUUAUUCUAAGGACUACCAUGUCUAAGUUUCAGAUGCUCGGAGAAGAGAUGGAGUUGUCACAAUCCCACCUGUACUGCCCCUUGUCAUGGCAGCAAAAGUAAACAAGUUGUGAUCAUGUCUGACCAAGGAGGAUCAUCUCAAGGAAAAGGAUCCCAAGGAGAAGGAUCACAAGUGGAUCCGGAAAGGAAGUAUGGAACCAUUGUUGAUAUCAACCAUUGGAAGUGUAUCUUUUGCUACAAGGAUACGCAAGACGCUCGCCUUUUGGCGUCAUGCCUCAUGGCUCUAAGCGCUAUGCUACCACCUCCUCGCCUAAUGUCGUCAUACUCCAUUUCAAACCAAGAGUACAGGUGGGAUUAAGAUGAUAGAAAGUCAUGACUUACUAAUAACCUAAAAAUGAGUGCACAUCCGAUGAUACAUUUCUGUACAGUUCUGACUUCUGGUGUUUGCAAUUUGUGGUUCUCCUUACUUAUGUGAGAUAUCAGUAUGUCAAUACAUGUGUGUUGCCAAAGGUUCGUACUUUUAGAACCGGGCACCAUGAGAAUUUCACAUUAGUAAUUGUUUUUCCUGUACAUUUUUCCUUUUUCAGCCACCAACUGAGAAAUUACAUUAAUCAUGGCAAGAACUUCGAGUUUUGCAAGCAAACAUGGCGGGCAAUCUGAGAUUCUCAUGUUGAGAGCCAAACAAGGAGUCAACCCAACGUUUGGGUUCUUGAUGCCAGAGACCAUCAGCUUCACCCUUACUUUAGGUUUCUUGUUGAACAUCAAGGGCUUUUGACAGGAACGUCUUCUGUAGAAGAUAAAAAAAAUUGAAGAUGGGAAGAAUGGGGGAGCUUUGUCCUUGCUUGGUUCGGUUUAUGGAACUGUAUAAGAUGAAGAUACUAAAAAGAAGAGUCAGCAAGGGGCUGUAAAACAAACGAGUCUGCUGAAGAUGAUGAUUCCAAUGGACCUGAAGGGUCAAGAGAAGCUGCAAAGAUUGCAGCAGUGAGAGAGAUGUAGCCGCUAAGCAGUUUCUUCCGUCAAACGAUCACACACAUUGUAUAGAAAGAAACCCUGAGGAAGCAGAUCAAUACAGUAGAUAAUGCAGCAGAAAAACUUUUGUCUUCUGAAAAAUUGCAAUCUUCCACAAUGCUGGCACAACCCAAGCUUGAACUGCAACUUGUGAAGCCGCCUAUUGAGAUGAAAAGAGCGAUUGAUAAGAUAGUUGACUUCAUCCAGAAGAACGGAAUGUUUCCAUUCUUAGGUCGUAAGGAGAUCUAUUAACCACAGCAAAAAUGUGGAUUAUUCCAAGGAAAAACGUAGCCAUCAUCACAGAUCCAGGAAGCAUGAUAAGCAUAUAUUGAUUCAUCAGAUGAUGACCAUCACCACCGACCCAGAUUCAGUAUACGCAAGCACGAGGACUCGUCAGACGAUGAGCAUGGUCAUAGACACAGUUCUAGUAAACGUACAAAGAAAAGAUGAGAAAACAGUGGAAAACGAGAGUGUUUCAAAGUCUGAUCCUGAAGAUAGCAUGCAAAACUAACCAACUCAAAGUUUCAGAUGAGCUAAGAGCCAAAAUCCGUGCCAUGUUAGCUGAUACCUUGCAAGUUCUUUUGUGAAUUGGUCGGUGAGCAUCUAUCUAUCUAUCUAUCUAGAAGGCAUUAAAGGUCAUGAAAAGCGAUGCCUUUGUGUAAAGGGCCGUCUCUUGAGAUGCUUGGAAGUAGGGAUGAAGUUAAGAGUGUAGUCUCUCACUUUUGUUGACGUAAGAAAGGAACUCUUACAAAGAGAACGUUUUUUAAUGUAUAAUUGUUGUCAGUGUCUUUAGUUGUAUUACUUGAAGCUUACCCUUGUUGGACGGACCUUACUUUACUUAGCCCCUCUUCUCGAUUGCAAAAGGCAUCUUUUUGGGUUCGAAUAUCUCUUUUAAAAACCGU
Molecule: RNA transcript, 2757 nt
Organism: Brassica napus (rape)
Lineage: Eukaryota; Viridiplantae; Streptophyta; Magnoliopsida; Brassicales; Brassicaceae
Exons: 4
Source: RefSeq, a predicted model, not a curated record